Small nuclear RNA from Heterocephalus glaber (naked mole-rat), 142 nucleotides. Its record names the gene U2. It matches the Rfam family "U2 spliceosomal RNA". From Rfam's summary of the family: U2 is a small nuclear RNA (snRNA) component of the spliceosome (involved in pre-mRNA splicing). The record is from Ensembl. NCBI's taxonomy places the organism in Eukaryota, Metazoa, Chordata, Mammalia, Rodentia, Bathyergidae.
AUCACUUCUCUGCCUUUUGGCUAAGAUCAAGUGUAGUAAAAGCAUAGUUUCCAAAGUCAGGUUAUGGGUUUGAAUUUUGAUGCCACUAGAAGCACAAAUCUUAGUCAUAAUACCAAAGUCACUGUGCCUCGAUUUCCUCAUU